This 28-nucleotide small RNA is filed under the name Bombyx mori (domestic silkworm). Its description in RNAcentral is "ovarian small RNA-15461". Lineage: Eukaryota; Metazoa; Arthropoda; Insecta; Lepidoptera; Bombycidae. The record is from RNAcentral.
GACCAUGGAAAUGCCACCUGUCACCACC